RNAcentral lists this ribosomal RNA (464 nucleotides) under uncultured bacterium. Its description in RNAcentral is "partial 16S ribosomal RNA". It matches the Rfam family "Bacterial small subunit ribosomal RNA", at positions 339 to 795 of the family's 1533-position model. The record is from RNAcentral.
CUACGGGAUGCAGCAGUGGGGAAUAUUGCACAAUGGGCGCAAGCCUGAUGCAGCCAUGCCGCGUGUAUGAAGAAGGCCUUCGGGUUGUAAAGUACUUUCAGCGGGGAGGAAGGGAGUAAAGUUAAUACCUUUGCUCAUUGACGUUACCCGCAGAAGAAGCACCGGCUAACUCCGUGCAAGCAGCCGCGGUAAUACGGAGGGUGCAAGCGUUAAUCGGAAUUACUGGGCGUAAAGCGCACGCAGGCGGUUUGUUAAGUCAGAUGUGAAAUCCCCGGGCUCAACCUGGGAACUGCAUCUGAUACUGGCAAGCUUGAGUCUCGUAGAGGGGGGUAGAAUUCCAGGUGUAGCGGUGUAAUGCGUAGAGAUCUGGAGGAAUACCGGUGGCGAAGGCGGCCCCCUGGACGAAGACUGACGCUCAGGUGCGAAAGCGUGGGGAGCAAACAGGAUUAGAUACCCUUGUAGUC